Molecule: unclassified non-coding RNA, 128 nt
Filed under: rhizosphere metagenome
Description: partial ribosomal RNA internal transcribed spacer region
Source: RNAcentral
GAAUCGGCGUCCGCGUAGGACUGCCCACUUCAUCCUUACCCUGUGAAAACGGUCUCUUUUAAACCAAAAGUGACGCAUGUAAAUCAUACUAAAACAACAAAACUUUCAGCAACGGAUCUCUUGGCUCC